Molecule: ribosomal RNA, 788 nt
Filed under: uncultured Pelagibacteraceae bacterium
Lineage: Bacteria; Pseudomonadati; Pseudomonadota; Alphaproteobacteria; Candidatus Pelagibacterales; Candidatus Pelagibacteraceae
Description: bacterial SSU rRNA
Rfam family: Bacterial small subunit ribosomal RNA
Source: RNAcentral
ACGCCUAACACAUGCAAGUCGAACGAAGUAGCAAUACUUAGUGGCAGACGGGUGAGUAACAUGUAGGUAUCUGCCCUUUGGCCUGGAAUAACACGAGGAAACUUGUGCUAAUACCGGAUAAGUCUUUACGGAGAAAGCUUUAUGCACCAUUGGAUGAGCCUGCACUUGAUUAGUUUGUUGGUGGGGUAAUGGCCUACCAAGACUGUGAUCAAUAGCUGAUUUGAGAGGAUGAUCAGCCACAUUGGGACUGAGACACGGCCCAAACUCCUACGGGAGGCAGCAGUGGGGAAUCUUGCACAAUGGAGGAAACUCUGAUGCAGCGAUGCCGCGUGAGUGAAGAAGGCCUUUGGGUUGUAAAGCUCUUUCGUCGGGGAAGAAAAUGACUGUACCCGAAUAAGAAGGUCCGGCUAACUUCGUGCCAGCAGCCGCGGUAAUACGAAGGGACCUAGCGUAGUUCGGAAUUACUGGGCUUAAAGAGUUCGUAGGUGGUUGAAAAAGUUGGUGGUGAAAUCCCAGGGCUUAACUCUGGAACUGCCAUCAAAACUUUUCAGCUAGAGUAUGAUAGAGGAAAGCAGAAUUUCUAGUGUAGAGGUGAAAUUCGUAGAUAUUAGAAAGAAUACCAAUUGCGAAGGCAGCUUUCUGGAUCAUUACUGACACUGAGGAACGAAAGCAUGGGUAGCGAAGAGGAUUAGAUACCCUCGUAGUCCAUGCCGUAAACGAUGUGUGUUAGACGUUGGAAAUUUAUUUUCAGUGUCGCAGCGAAAGCGAUAAACACACCGCCUGGGGAG